UACAGAGGGUGCAAGCGUUGUUCGGAAUUAUUGGGCGUAAAGGGCGCGUAGGCGGUGCGGUAAGUCCGCAGUGAGAUCUCUGGGCUCAACUCAGAGUCUGCUGUAGAAACUGCCGUGCUUGAGUGUGGGAGAGGUGAGUGGAAUUCCCGGUGUAGCGGUGAAGUGCGUAGAUAUCGGGAGGAACACCUGUGGCGAAAGCGGCUCACUGGACCACAACUGACGCUGAGGCGCGAAAGCUAGGGGAGCAAACAGG
This 253-nucleotide ribosomal RNA is filed under the name uncultured bacterium. RNAcentral's name for it is "partial 16S ribosomal RNA". It matches the Rfam family "Bacterial small subunit ribosomal RNA", at positions 524 to 776 of the family's 1533-position model. The record is from RNAcentral.